CUGACCCGGAAGUGUAUUCGCAACCGCUCCCCGCCGCGUGACCGUGCGCCCAGAGCAAAGAUUCUAGAGGAGCGGUCCGGAGUGUGACACGUGACCUGGGGUGACCGUUGUGGGAUGAAAUCAGAACAUCCAGGGGAAAUCCAUGUAGUUAAGAGGAAGAACCUGCAAACUCCACACAGACAGCACCGGAAGAUCAAACUGAGACCGGAAGAGUGAAGCAGUAGUUCUACUAGUCACAGAAAAUCUGGAUGAAAUUCUUGUUUCAUUGCACUUAGCAUUCAGCCAGAGAUUUUACUUUACACUGAAUGGGUUUUUUUUCAAUUGUAUUACUGAAUUGUACUGGUAGGUUGUUCAGAAUGACUUUAAAGACAUUUUAUUUUACUA
Leucoraja erinaceus (little skate) is the source of this 384-nucleotide long non-coding RNA. RefSeq lists it as uncharacterized. NCBI's taxonomy places the organism in Eukaryota, Metazoa, Chordata, Chondrichthyes, Rajiformes, Rajidae. The transcript has 2 exons. The record is from RefSeq and is a predicted model, not a curated record.